AUUGAACGCUGGCGGAAUGCUUUACACAUGCAAGUCGAACGGUAGAGGGGGCAACCCCUCGAGAGUGGCGAACGGGUGAGUAAUAUAUCGGAACGUGCCCAGUCGUGGGGGAUAACGUAGCGAAAGUUACGCUAAUACCGCAUACGAUCUACGGAUGAAAGCGGGGGAUCGUAAGACCUCGCGCGAUUGGAGCGGCCGAUAUCAGAUUAGGUAGUUGGUGGGGUAAAGGCUCACCAAGCCAACGAUCUGUAGCUGGUCUGAGAGGACGACCAGCCACACUGGAACUGAGACACGGUCCAGACUCCUACGGGAGGCAGCAGUGGGGAAUUUUGGACAAUGGACGCAAGUCUGAUCCAGCCAUUCCGCGUGCAGGAUGAAGGCCCUCGGGUUGUAAACUGCUUUUGUACGGAACGAAAAGGUUUCCAUUAAUACUGGGAGCUCAUGACGGUACCGUAAGAAUAAGCAUCGGCUAACUACGUGCCAGCCGCCGCAGUAA
Molecule: ribosomal RNA, 496 nt
Filed under: uncultured bacterium
Lineage: Bacteria
Description: partial 16S ribosomal RNA
Rfam family: Bacterial small subunit ribosomal RNA
Source: RNAcentral